GAACCCUAUAUUUGUAAGUCGCUCUGGAUAAGAGCGUCUGCUAAAUGACGUAAA
This is a non-coding RNA of Salmo salar (Atlantic salmon), 54 nucleotides long. The record is from Rfam. Lineage: Eukaryota; Metazoa; Chordata; Actinopteri; Salmoniformes; Salmonidae.